This 852-nucleotide long non-coding RNA is filed under the name Piliocolobus tephrosceles (Ugandan red Colobus). RNAcentral describes it as "lncRNA (ENSPTEG00000030961.1)". Lineage: Eukaryota; Metazoa; Chordata; Mammalia; Primates; Cercopithecidae. The record is from RNAcentral.
AGGGCCCUGCCCUGUAGGGCUGAAGGCCGCCCGAGGUUCACCAAGGCUCUGGGCUCCCGAAAGGAAGCCAAGAAAAGAAGCUGCCCAGGGGACCAGUCCUGGGAAUGCUCUCUCCCAAGGAAGCUCCGAGCGCCCAGGAGCCCUUAGCCUGGGUACAGUGCCCCUUGAACAAUCCCUAGCUGUUCAAGGCAGUGGGGCGGCGCCUCCUCUCUAGCUACCUGGCCUGGGAUCCUUUCCCCAAACUCACCCCGGCGAUUUUUGCGCACCGGGAGCCGAACCCCUGCGACUGGGCUCAGGCAUGCUUCCUCAGCGUUUCAGAGCCGUUGCGCCUUGGCGAAGUCCACAUUCCAAGCUCCAGGGGCUUUGAGAGAGACGACUCCAAGGCAAGGCGUUUGGAGAGCUGCUGAGGAGCCAGCGGCUUGGAGGAGCGAGAAGACAUGUAUUUUCAGCUGUGUCUCAGAAGGGGAGAAUUUCCUGUCAUCACCAGAGAAGCAACAGCCCCGAAAUGUGAUUGCAACUGACUAACAGAGCAGAGGCCCAGGAGUCAUUGGAUUGAUGAUUUAGAACAUGCUAAAAAGCCAACGCUUUAUUUGGGGGAAUUCAGGGGCUUACUGGUGCCCAGGACAGUGACCUGCAGCAAGGGAGUCAGAAGACAAAUGUAGAGAUCAAGAGUGACAGUCCUCAGGAUUGACUUGGAUUGCCACUAAAGCAGUCCUCUGAUGGAAUGUUGGUGAGGUCCUCUGCCAGGGAAGCAAUAGGGCUGUGCAAGGGGCUACCUGGUGGGGAGGACUCCUGGAAAUCUGACUGACCCCUGUUCCCUGCUUAGGAACUUGAGGGGUGUCAGAGCCCCUG